CUGCGCGAAACCCCCCACCCCCAAAUGAAACUGCGUCUACCCUAACCCACAAUCCCAAAUCCACAAUCCUUACCCUAACCUUCAGUACUCAUCGCUCCCUCUUCUCCAAAUCUCCACACCUGCCGGCUGCCGACCUGCGCACCCAGCCACCCACCACCGCGAAGCCUUUGGCCCGUCGCACAUCAGGCCAACACGAAGCCACGCCGUCGCACAUCAGGUCAAGACGAAGCCACCACCGACCGACUCGACACGGCAGCACAGCACCAUGCCGCCGCCGUUGAGACCCCACCACCCUAACCCAUCAGUUCAACCCAGCACGGCAGCACCUCCCAGUCUCCCACUCAGCCUUCCUCCCAAGUCAAUAUGGAGCCCGAGCCACCGAUUCAGGGUAUGUAUGUAUAAGCAAGUUGCUCAGAUGGCUGAACUGAAGAAGAUUUUGUAUGGGAAGUUCAAGGACUCAAUCAAUCUGGAGAGGAGACACUAUAAUUUGGCUAUCUUUUAAUGGAAAUUUAUUUAUAUUUUUAAUUGUGUUGACUAUUGAACUUUUAAACUUCUUUAAUUUUUGUAUUUGAAUUCCUUUUGUCCUUAAAUUUCAUUAGACCAAGACGUUGUUAGCUAUUUUGUAUUUGUAUUUGUCAAUUUCAAUGUUAUGAUUUUGUGAAAUAGUAUGUUAGUAUUUUUUUUU
Molecule: long non-coding RNA, 685 nt
Organism: Arachis stenosperma
Lineage: Eukaryota; Viridiplantae; Streptophyta; Magnoliopsida; Fabales; Fabaceae
Exons: 2
Source: RefSeq, a predicted model, not a curated record